Molecule: RNA transcript, 1080 nt
Organism: Myotis myotis
Lineage: Eukaryota; Metazoa; Chordata; Mammalia; Chiroptera; Vespertilionidae
Gene: TWIST2
Gene name: twist family bHLH transcription factor 2
Exons: 3
Source: RefSeq, a predicted model, not a curated record
GUUAGAAUAACUUCCUCUCCCGGAGACCUCGGUUUUGCACAAGCCGGCCUUGAAAUCAGAAACUCCGAGAGCGUGUGCUCGGCGACCGCGGGCUUGGCCAGCGGCGCGCGCUCGGCGCCCGGCGCCCCCAGCCCCACGCGCGCUGGGCGGGCGCCAUGGAGGAGGGCUCCAGCUCGCCCGUGUCCCCCGUGGACAGCCUGGGCACCAGCGAGGAGGAGCUCGAGCGGCAGCCCAAGCGCUUCGGCCGGAAGCGGCGCUACAGCAAGAAGUCGAGCGAAGAUGGCAGCCCGACCCCCGGCAAGCGCGGCAAGAAGGGCAGCCCGAGCGCGCAGUCCUUCGAGGAGCUGCAGAGCCAGCGCAUCCUGGCCAACGUGCGCGAGCGCCAGCGCACCCAGUCGCUCAACGAGGCCUUCGCCGCGCUGCGCAAGAUCAUCCCCACGCUGCCUUCGGACAAGCUCAGCAAGAUCCAGACGCUGAAGCUGGCCGCCAGGUACAUAGACUUCCUCUACCAGGUCCUGCAGAGCGACGAGAUGGACAAUAAGAUGACCAGCUGCAGCUACGUGGCCCACGAGCGCCUCAGCUACGCCUUCUCCGUGUGGCGCAUGGAGGGCGCGUGGUCCAUGUCCGCCUCCCACUAGCGCCGCGCCACCCACGUCCGGACCGGCGCGCGAGGCUUUGGCUCCCCUGAAGACAACCGGCCUCCAGGAGAAGAUCAGCCCGCCCACCGUGGGGUCUGCAGGGGAAACAGAUGAGCCUGGCUCUGCGGACAGCCAGAGACCACGUGGUCCAUCCUGGAAAGCAACCUCCUGCUUGAACGGUGAUAACAUGCUACUUCCGCAGAAAGAAGGAGAGGGAAAGUGAGGAGCACAGUUGGAUGCUGGCGGCAGUGCGGGCUCCGGGGCGCCCUCUGUGCUCGCUGCUGCUCCACCCUCCACACCGAGAAACAGUCGUCCACGGAGGCAGAGCGCUCGCACGUGUGAGGAUGUGCGGUGGAUGUGACUCCCCACAAGGGAUUUUGCAACUUAUUGAAGUCAUUGUUUCCAGAAUAAACUAUGUGUCAUUCUUUCCCUUAGUAAUGAG